RNAcentral lists this ribosomal RNA (803 nucleotides) under uncultured Pelagibacteraceae bacterium. RNAcentral describes it as "bacterial SSU rRNA". It matches the Rfam family "Bacterial small subunit ribosomal RNA", at positions 36 to 887 of the family's 1533-position model. The record is from RNAcentral. Lineage: Bacteria; Pseudomonadati; Pseudomonadota; Alphaproteobacteria; Candidatus Pelagibacterales; Candidatus Pelagibacteraceae.
CUGGCGGCACGCCUAACACAUGCAAGUCGAACGAAGUAGCAAUACUUAGUGGCAGACGGGUGAGUAACAUGUGGGUAUCUACCCUUUGGCCUGGAAUAACACGAGGAAACUUGUGCUAAUACCGGAUAAGUCUUUACGGAGAAAGCUUUAUGCACCAUUGGAUGAGCCCGCACUUGAUUAGUUUGUUGGUGGGGUAAUGGCCUACCAAGACUUUGAUCAAUAGCUGAUUUGAGAGGAUGAUCAGCCACAUUGGGACUGAGACACGGCCCAAACUCCUACGGGAGGCAGCAGUGGGGAAUCUUGCACAAUGGAGGAAACUCUGAUGCAGCGAUGCCGCGUGAGUGAAGAAGGCCCUUGGGUUGUAAAGCUCUUUCGUCGGGGAAGAAAAUGACUGUACCCGAAUAAGAAGGUCCGGCUAACUUCGUGCCAGCAGCCGCGGUAAUACGAAGGGACCUAGCGUAGUUCGGAAUUACUGGGCUUAAAGAGUUCGUAGGUGGUUGAAAAAGUUGGUGGUGAAAUCCCAGAGCUUAACUCUGGAACUGCCAUCAAAACUUUUCAGCUAGAGUAUGAUAGAGGAAAGCAGAAUUUCUAGUGUAGAGGUGAAAUUCGUAGAUAUUAGAAAGAAUACCAAUUGCGAAGGCAGCUUUCUGGAUCAUUACUGACACUGAGGAACGAAAGCAUGGGUAGCGAAGAGGAUUAGAUACCCUCGUAGUCCAUGCCGUAAACGAUGUGUGUUAGACGUUGGAAAUUUAUUUUCAGUGUCGCAGCGAAAGCGAUAAACACACCGCCUGGGGAGUACGACC